This 253-nucleotide ribosomal RNA is filed under the name uncultured bacterium. RNAcentral's name for it is "partial 16S ribosomal RNA". It matches the Rfam family "Bacterial small subunit ribosomal RNA", at positions 524 to 776 of the family's 1533-position model. The record is from RNAcentral.
UACGUAGGGUGCGAGCGUUAAUCGGAAUUACUGGGCGUAAAGCGUGCGCAGGCGGUUCGCUGUGUCCGAUGUGAAAGCCCCGGGCUUAACCUGGGAAUGGCAUUGGAAACUGGCGGGCUUGAGUGCGGCAGAGGAGAGUGGAAUUCCUGGUGUAGCGGUGAAAUGCGCAGAUAUCAGGAAGAACACCAACGGCGAAGGCAGCUCGCUGGGACGGUACUGACGCUGAGACGCGAAAGCGUGGGGAGCAAACAGG